GCAGCACCAUCAAGAUUCAC
This 20-nucleotide microRNA is filed under the name Glycine max (soybean). Its description in RNAcentral is "gma-miR172g". Its record names the gene gma-miR172g. RNAcentral also lists the same sequence under 2 other names. The record is from miRBase by way of RNAcentral. Lineage: Eukaryota; Viridiplantae; Streptophyta; Magnoliopsida; Fabales; Fabaceae.